This is a long non-coding RNA of Sinocyclocheilus grahami, 277 nucleotides long. RefSeq lists it as uncharacterized. NCBI's taxonomy places the organism in Eukaryota, Metazoa, Chordata, Actinopteri, Cypriniformes, Cyprinidae. The record is from RefSeq and is a predicted model, not a curated record. The transcript is spliced from 3 exons.
GAUGGGCGUCUGUGACUGAACGUUAGACAGAAGCCUCACAAAUACACAGAGGCAUUAGAUUUGAUGUGCUCAGCAGAUGGGGAUUCUGUGAUUCUGACAGGUUUCUAAAGGAGGCUGAUCCUAAAGUGUCCUGCCAUUGCUAGACUUUGGAGUUUGGGCGUCCACUGCUCUAAAGUUCGCUCUUUAACACUGGACACAUGGGAGCCAGAGCUUAUGAAGUUAAUGUGUGAGAUUGGCAACACUGUAAUCAACCAGAUUUAUGAAGGUGCGUGUGAGG